This 253-nucleotide ribosomal RNA is filed under the name uncultured bacterium. Its description in RNAcentral is "partial 16S ribosomal RNA". It matches the Rfam family "Bacterial small subunit ribosomal RNA", at positions 524 to 776 of the family's 1533-position model. The record is from RNAcentral.
UACGAAGGGGGCUAGCGUUGCUCGGAAUCACUGGGCGUAAAGCGCACGUAGGCGGGUUGUUAAGUCGGGGGUGAAAUCCUGGAGCUCAACUCCUGAACUGCCUUCGAUACUGGCGACCUUGAGUCCGGGAGAGGUGAGUGGAACUCCGAGUGUAGAGGUGAAAUUCGUAGAUAUUCGGAAGAACACCAGUGGCGAAGGCGGCUCACUGGCCCGGUACUGACGCUGAGGUGCGAAAGCGUGGGGAGCAAACAGG